AUGUUAUGGUGUGGACACUUCCUAAGCAAAUCAUUCAAUCACUCCCAUGCCUCAUAAAACAUUUCCCCAUCCCCUUGAGAAAAUUCACGAAGUAAAGUUCUCAUUGC
This is a small nucleolar RNA of Cornus florida, 107 nucleotides long. Lineage: Eukaryota; Viridiplantae; Streptophyta; Magnoliopsida; Cornales; Cornaceae. The record is from RefSeq and is a predicted model, not a curated record.